UGAGCUCCAAGGUCGUGGUCUGGUCCUCAGGGAUGAGGUCCCGGGUCCAGACUCUUUCCUUGGUCAGCAACUCCUGCUUAGAAGCUCCCCGCCCCGAAUGGAAUCGUGACCUGGCGCUAGGUCCCCCGCUGGGAGUGCCCGAGGCUUUCCUGAAGGCCCCAGGCCUUCAGGCCGCCAGGGUCCUAAGGUGCCUGUGGCGGCCCCUCGUCCGCCUGAGCCCUGAGAUCAGCGCGGCCCUCGGUGCUGCAGGGCCCCAGGGCGGCCAGGAAACACCUGCCCGAAGUCCAGGCCCGGCCCCACUGCAGUCCAGGACCCUAAUUCUCGAGUGUCUCUUCACGACCCUGACCCCGGAAGGGCGCUCCCUUGCGAACGAAUUUUUAAUUCUGCGGACUGGGAUCCCUUGUAGGGGCCCCUCCGAGGGCCCCUCCCACCCCUUUCCCUGGACUAGCGAACUCCGACCCUAAGCGCGGCCCCGCAGGGAGCGGAUCCCGGAAGCUAGGCCCAUAUCCGGCCGCGGAGCCUUGCGCGCGGGGUUGGCUGCCGGGAGGUCGACGCUAGUGCGGUCCCCCGCGCGGCGGAGGGGCCCGGGCCGCGGUAUCUGCGCACUGAGACGUCGGCGGAAGGCUAGAGGCCGUGCUCUCGCCCCCGCAGAAGGCCACCACUCCUUGAGAAGGCCGGAGGGACAAAGCACCGGGCCUGCGCCGGGGGCAUUCAAGAAGGAAGCCAGGCCCGACCGGGGGUGGCGCACGCUUCCCGAACCCCAGGCCCACGGCCCGGUUCCGCGCGGGCAGUUGGCGCCCCCUCGGGUCGGCACAGCAGACCUCUUAGUAAUGGUCCCCAGGGAGUACAGGGACUGAGAAACGGAAAUACUACCAUCCUCCAGCCAAUCUGUUGGGAGGACUGCUUGCAGAGGACUCGUGCUCCAGAUGUUGCACUAGAGGCGCUGCAAGUGUGAGCAGCAGGUAGAUGAAACUCAAGAGAAAAGGUGUGGAUAAAUGAAACUAGCCCAUGAUGAACCUGUUUUCUCCGUGACCACAAUAUUAACCAGGAUGAAUGGCGGUGGCAGUGGGCCUGCAUCACAGGUUGCAGCAGAUGUUCUCAAUAUUUCUAUUAAAAUUUCCUUAUUUCCAUAUGCAAGAGGAGCCCCAGAGCUGCAUCCUUAUGGUAGCUACCAUGCCGUGAUGUAAGCUGCCAUUCACUGGGGAGCUUUGGCAAUAGAAUUGGCUAGAUCAGGAAGCCUAUGUCAACUAUGGAACAACAACUUGCAGCUCAUCUCUAUUGAUGGACCUCUAACAAUGAUAUUGGAAGAAUAGAUACUAAGUCUUGGAGAGGUGAAACAGUCGCAAAUGGAAUUCCAAGAAACAUUCUAUCAUCAGGUAUUAUCUACUGCUGUCUGCAGAAUUCAGACAUGGAGGGCUCAAUGGUGUCCCCUGGUCUUUGGAACAUUCUGUAUUUUAAUGAUCAUGAUACACUGCCUCUAGGACUGGGACAGAUAGCCACUGAGUACCUGCUUCAAAUCACCCUGCACGUUUUCUCUUUGGAAAGAUAAGCACUGGAGAACCAUCUCGUUACCUUCAGCAGAAAUGGAAACAAAUCAAGACAUUAAGAAUGCCGCAGUGGACAGCAGUUAUGCAAGGUUCAGCAGAGGAAGUUUUCAAGAUGGUGUGCCUCACUAGCCAGAAAUCAGAAAAGAUCGAAGCUAGCCUUUUCAUCUCAGCUGCUCCUUAAAUCAGUGCAACCCCUCCAAAUUAAUGUGAAUUGAAACUUGCAUUGCUUUUCAACUUAAUUGAAUACUUACUAUAUGUGAACCACUGCACAAAAUAGGGGAAGAAGAUGUGGGAGACAAAGAUGUGGAGCCUGUCUUCAAUAAAUUUACAGUUAGUUUCAGGGUACAUUGUUUUUCUUCUGCUGUUAAUUAGGUGUAUCCCCAAGACAAUAAAUACAUGAAUGGAAAAGUAUAUUCUGUGUUUUAAGUCUCUUUAAUAAAAAACAAAACAAAAUCCAAAAAAACUCCUAACAUGGCAACUCAGGACAUUUUAAUCCUUUUUUUUGUUGUUGGGCUUCUGAUAGGAUCCAUUUUAUUGAUUCCAUAAAUAUUUAGUAGACUUUAGACAUAUUAAUACAUUGUAGUUUGAGUUAAUUUGCAUUAAAUUCUGUUUUUUUCCCCUUAGGUAUAGAUUGUCUGUUGGAAAAAUAUAUUGCUUGUGGAUUUCUUGGGGAGUGGGAAGGUGAAUUAUACCUGUUGUCUCUACAGUCCACUACCUUCCACACCCUAGGGCAGUGGUCCCCAACCUUCUUGGCACCAGGGAUCAGUUUCCUGGAAGACAAUUUUUCUGUGGAUGGUGUGGGGAUGGUUUUGGGAUGGAACUGUUCCACCUCAGAUCAUCAGGCAUUAGUUAGGCUCUCAUAACGAGUGCGCAGCCUAGAUCCCUCACAUGCACAGUUCACAGUAGGGUUUGCGCUGCUAUGAGAAUCUAAGGCUGCCACUGAUCUGACAGGAGGCAGAACUCAGGUGGCAAUGCUUACUGGCCCACUGCUCACCUCUUGCUGUGCGGCCUGGUUCCUAAUAGGCCAUGGACCCCCACAGACGGGUACUAGUCUGCAGCCUGUGGACCCCAGCCCUAGGGGCCUGCCAUUCUGAGUGAGUUAUUAGCAUGAAGAAGAGGAAGAUCUGGAUCAAACGUGGGUGAUGGUACUCAGAGACCCAAGAUAGGAUAGGGAUGGAACAAAAUCCAUCUGGGCAACGGCUCUAUGAAAAUUUGGCUAAGUAAUUAUUUCAGUAUUCAUUGUAUUCAUUGUCCUUCGUGUUCCAUAAGUUAAAUGACUGUCUAAUUUUUCCAAAAAUUUAUUUCUGACUUGAGAAUAAGUGUGUCAUGAUUUUCCCAGUGUAAAGACACUGAUAUAACUGUAGAUACCAGACAUUUUAUGUAGUGUCUAUGACACAUUUUAGUAUGUAUGAGCCAACAAUAGACAUGUCUUUGUCUUGAGGAGUGUCCAUCUGAAUUGAAAAUGUGUCAGCUUUUUUUUAACAUCAUCAACAGACUUCUUAAUUAAGCUGCCAAUACAUACUGCCAAUAGCACUGUGUGCUGUCUGAGAAAUGCAUUGUGUAAGUGCUAUUUCCAUCUUAUUAAAUAAACAAUGUUGCUCUGUAUAAACUGGAUUUAAAGUGUUCUUUGAAUGAGGCAUUAUAUUGCUCCAUAAAUAAUGUGAUGUGAAUUCUCAUAUGAUCCCUUUUAACUUAAUUUCUAAAAAAAUAUUAUUUGCUCCUCAGUAAGGAAUAGCUCUAAUUGGACUGGUAACUUUAGUGAUAUGAUUUGUCUGUAACAGGCUGAAUCGCCCCACUCCCAAACUCCUGGUCGUGAUACUGGAUAUUUGUUAUGCCACUUUUAGUUUGCAUGAGGUAUCUUCCAGGAAGUAUUAGUUAUUAACUUGUGUUCUACUAAACUGUAGAUAUUUAUUUCCUGUUCUGGAAGAUUUCUUGGAGUGUCCAUCUGUGCAUUCCUGGUGCCUAGUGUAGUCUUGCUAAUGGAAUAGCACCUUUAUUGGUGCUACUUAGGGGUUGGUAGCUUACAAUCAAUCUACUUGGAACGUAUCCAAAUAAACUGGAUAUUUUUAUACA
Molecule: long non-coding RNA, 3620 nt
Filed under: Homo sapiens (human)
Lineage: Eukaryota; Metazoa; Chordata; Mammalia; Primates; Hominidae
Description: non-protein coding NR2F1-AS1:31
Source: RNAcentral